CAUCAUUACAAGGUUAUAUAUGUCUCAAAUUAAUCCAAAAAUAUGUUACAAUAUAUACUACAUUCUCAGUCCAACUACCAUACAUUACCGGUCAUUCCAUUUAUAAUCUGACAAAGUUUUUCUUAUUUUUGAGAAAAAUGGCUUCAAAGUUUUGGGGAAAAUGAAAUUUAACAUUUUAAAAUUGAUAAAAGAAAUUUUGUGGAAAUCUUAUGUAUACUAGCUCUAAAUACUAAAGCUUUAUUUUGCUUCUGUUUACCCUUAGCCCCUCACUUCAUACACUUCAUAUAAAUGUCGCAUGCUUUCCAGUUCAGGUCAAGUAGAUCAGAAAUCCAAGAACCUUUAGACAAUGAGUAGUUUUAGACUUGGACGACUAUCAUUUAAACUACCUACGCUGUGAAUUAUUUAUUUUAUAAAUUGUUCAUUUUCAUACAGUGAUAUUCUAAAUAACCCGGUAUACUGUAAAUUUGAUGACUUCUAAAUCGACUUUGAUAAAUAGUUUGAGGCAUUAAACAUUGGUUAAACCUGAUUUUAGCAAUAUUUUUUUAUGAAACAAUAAUCUCUAAAUAGGUCUAGUCCUGCCAUUCCUAAUCUCUAAAUAGGUCUAGUCCUGCUAUUCCUAAUCUCUAAAUAGGUCUAUAGUCCUGCUAUUCCUAAUCUCUAAAUAGGUCUAGUCCUGCCAUUCCUAAAAUAUGUUCCGCCAAUUAUAUGCUUUCAUAAUUACCAGAUAUAUGAAUUAUCUUUGUUCAUGAUAUUAUUUAAUUAAUUGAAACUUUAAAAAAUAUUCAUAAUAUCUUUGUUAUUUUGAGAGCAAAAAAAUUGAAGACCACAUUUUGAAAUGGCAGGAUAAGGGCUAUAUUUUAAUUUUUUUUUUAUUAAAAAUAUUGCUAAAAUCAGGUUGCCUAUAAUGAAUGCGGCAAGCUUAUUCUAAUGUCAUAGAAGACUUGGUAGUUCUCAUUCAAUUUUUGUUAUUCAGAGCCCAAAAUUUAACUCCCGCGUUUCCUUGUGAGGUCUUAACAUUCGUGUGUAUUUUGAUAUUAGAGAUUCGAAAAAA
Eurytemora carolleeae is the source of this 1051-nucleotide long non-coding RNA. RefSeq lists it as uncharacterized. The transcript has 2 exons. Lineage: Eukaryota; Metazoa; Arthropoda; Copepoda; Calanoida; Temoridae. The record is from RefSeq and is a predicted model, not a curated record.